This 747-nucleotide ribosomal RNA is filed under the name uncultured Staphylococcus sp. RNAcentral's name for it is "bacterial SSU rRNA". It matches the Rfam family "Bacterial small subunit ribosomal RNA", at positions 41 to 770 of the family's 1533-position model. Lineage: Bacteria; Bacillati; Bacillota; Bacilli; Caryophanales; Staphylococcaceae. The record is from RNAcentral.
UGCGUGCCUAAUACAUGCAAGUCGAGCGAACGGACGAGAAGCUUGCUUCUCUGAUGUUAGCGGCGGACGGGUGAGUAACACGUGGAUAACCUACCUAUAAGACUGGGAUAACUUCGGGAAACCGGAGCUAAUACCGGAUAAUAUUUUGAACCGCAUGGUUCAAAAGUGAAAGACGGUCUUGCUGUCACUUAUAGAUGGAUCCGCGCUGCAUUAGCUAGUUGGUAAGGUAACGGCUUACCAAGGCAACGAUGCAUAGCCGACCUGAGAGGGUGAUCGGCCACACUGGAACUGAGACACGGUCCAGACUCCUACGGGAGGCAGCAGUAGGGAAUCUUCCGCAAUGGGCGAAAGCCUGACGGAGCAACGCCGCGUGAGUGAUGAAGGUCUUCGGAUCGUAAAACUCUGUUAUUAGGGAAGAACAUAUGUGUAAGUAACUGUGCACAUCUUGACGGUACCUAAUCAGAAAGCCACGGCUAACUACGUGCCAGCAGCCGCGGCAAUACGUAGGUGGCAAGCGUUAUCCGGAAUUAUUGGGCGUAAAGCGCGCGUAGGCGGUUUUUUAAGUCUGAUGUGAAAGCCCACGGCUCAACCGUGGAGGGUCAUUGGAAACUGGAAAACUUGAGUGCAGAAGAGGAAAGUGGAAUUCCAUGUGUAGCGGUGAAAUGCGCAGAGAUAUGGAGGAACACCAGUGGCGAAGGCGACUUUCUGGUCUGUAACUGACGCUGAUGUGCGAAAGCGUGGGGAUCA